RNAcentral lists this ribosomal RNA (233 nucleotides) under uncultured bacterium. Its description in RNAcentral is "partial 16S ribosomal RNA". It matches the Rfam family "Bacterial small subunit ribosomal RNA", at positions 103 to 334 of the family's 1533-position model. The record is from RNAcentral.
CGGGUGAGUAACGCGUGAGGAACCUGCCUCAAAGAGGGGGACAACAGUUGGAAACGACUGCUAAUACCGCAUAAGCCCACGGCUCGGCAUCGAGCAGAGGGAAAAGGAGCAAUCCGCUUUGAGAUGGCCUCGCGUCCGAUUAGCUAGUUGGUGAGGUAACGGCCCACCAAGGCGACGAUCGGUAGCCGACCUGAGAGGGUGAUCGGCCACAUUGGAACUGAGACACGGUCCAA